UACAGAUGGACGUCGAGCGGCAUGAGAGGAGAUUGAUCCUUGAUUUGGGGGGGGAGGGGGGAUUAAUGCCUAUGAAUCGGCCUGGUGGUGGGGGAUAACGUUGAGAAAGGGACUGUAAUACGGCAUACGUGCUAAGUGAGAAAGCGGGGGAUGUUGAGACCUCGGGCCCUUAAAUGACGCUAGGUUGGAUUAUGUAUAUGAUAGAUGUAAAGGUUCAGGCGGGCGACGAUCUCCAUCUGGUCUGAGAGGAUGAUCAUUCACACUGGAACUGAAACACAGUCCCGACUCCUACUGGAGGCAGCCGUGGGGAAUAUUGGACAAUGGGCGAAAGCCCGAUCCUGCCCUGUCGCGUGUGUGAGGAAGGUCUUCGGAUUGUAAAGCACUUUAAGUUGGGAGGAAGGGUAUUCACCUAAUACGUGAGUAUUUUGACGUUACCGACAGAAUAAGCACCGGCUGACUUGGUGCCAGCAGCCGCGUAAAUACGAAGGGGGCAGGCGUUAAUCGGAAUUACUGGGACGUAAAGCGCGCGUAGGUGGUUCGUUAAGGUUGGAUGUGAAAGCCCCGGGCUCAACCUGGGAACUGCAUUUCAAACUGGUGAGCUAGAGUACGGUAGAGGGUAGGUGGAAUUUCCUGUGUAGCGGUGAAAUGCGUAGAUAUGAGGAAGGAACAUCAGUGGCGAAGGCGACCACCUGGACUGAUACUGACACUGAGGUGCGAAAGCGUGGGGAGCAAACAGGAUUAGAUACCCUGGUAGUGCCACGCCCUAACGAUGUCAACUAGCCGUUGGAAUCUUUGAGAUCUUAGUGGCGCAGCUAACGCAUUAAGUUGACCGUCUGGGGUAGUACGCCGCAGGGUUAAAACUUCAAAUGAAAUGGCCGGGGUCCCGCCACAAGCGGUGGAGCAUGUAGGUUUAAUUCGAUAGCAACGCAAAGAACCUUACAUGCCCUUGACAUCCUGAGAACUUUCCAGAGAUGGAUUGGUGUCUUGGGAACUCAGCCACAGGUGCUGCAUGGCGGUGAUUCAUCUCUGUUGCGAGAAGUUCGGGUUAAGUCCGGUAACGAGCGCAACCCUGGUCCUUAUUUACCACCCAUUUUGGAUGGGCCCUGUAAGGAGACUCCCCGUGACAAACCGGAUGAAGGUGGAGAGGAGUUCAACUCAUCAUGGCCCCAAGGGCCAGGACUUCCCACCCCUUCCAAUGGUAGGUACAAAGGGUUCCCAAGCCGCAAGGUUGAGUUAAUUCCAUAACACCGAUCCUAGUCCGUACGGCAUUAUCAAAUUGAAUCCCGGCAACUUCAACUACUUACUAACCCCCAUUCACAUUGUCACUGUGAAUACGUUCCCGGGCAUUGUACACACCGCCCGUCACACCAUGGGAGUGGGUUGCUCCAGAAGUAGCUAGUCUAACCUUCGGGAGGACGCUUUCCACGGAGUGCCCCAUUACUGGGGGAAGUCGA
RNAcentral lists this ribosomal RNA (1454 nucleotides) under Pseudomonadales bacterium AF3. RNAcentral's name for it is "partial 16S ribosomal RNA". It matches the Rfam family "Bacterial small subunit ribosomal RNA". Lineage: Bacteria; Pseudomonadati; Pseudomonadota; Gammaproteobacteria; Pseudomonadales. The record is from RNAcentral.